GACGAACGCUGGCGGCGUGCCUAAUACAUGCAAGUAGAACGCACAGUUUAUACCGUAGCUUGCUACACCAUAAACUGUGAGUUGCGAACGGGUGAGUAACGCGUAGGUAACCUGCCUGGUAGCGGGGGAUAACUACUGGAAACGAUAGCUAAUACCGCAUAAUAUUGAUUAUUGCAUGAUAAUUGAUUGAAAGAUGCUAUUGCAUCACUACCAGAUGGACCUGCGUUGUAUUAGCUAGUAGGGGAGGUAACGGCUCACCUAGGCGACGAUACAUAGCCGACCUGGGAAGGUGGUCGGCCACACUGGGACUGAGACACCGCCCAGACUCCUACGGGAGGCAGCAGUAGGGAAUCUUCGGCAAUGGACGAAAGUCUGACCGAGCAACGCCGCGUGAGUGAAGAAGGUUUUCGGAUCGUAAAGCUCUGUUGUAAGAGAAGAACGGGUGUGAGAGUGGAAAGUUCACACUGUGACGGUAUCUUACCAGAAAGGGACGGCUAACUACGUG
Molecule: ribosomal RNA, 505 nt
Filed under: uncultured bacterium
Lineage: Bacteria
Description: partial 16S ribosomal RNA
Rfam family: Bacterial small subunit ribosomal RNA
Source: RNAcentral